AUGACAGAGACGAAGACGGUUCUAGUGACGACGACCUGUUUGACGACAGUGAUCUUGAAUCUUUUUCAGUCGAUAAAAUAAAAGAGUUUUUAAUAAAAGCAAAGCAGCUACGAAAACAGAAAGAAAAGAAACGAAAAUCGCAUCAAGGUGUAUGACCACAUGACGUGUCAACAGGAAGUGACGUAUAGGAUAAAGAUAUCUUAAAACAGUUCAUAGAGGAUAUGAUUUGAAAUUGUCGAAAUAAAUACUUUUUUUUAUUUUAUUGUCGUUCGUGAUAUUUGACACUAAUAGUUACUGUAUAUAAACCAUGA
Mytilus trossulus (common blue mussel) is the source of this 311-nucleotide long non-coding RNA. RefSeq lists it as uncharacterized. The record is from RefSeq and is a predicted model, not a curated record. Lineage: Eukaryota; Metazoa; Mollusca; Bivalvia; Mytilida; Mytilidae. The transcript has 3 exons.